This is a long non-coding RNA of Thalassophryne amazonica, 168 nucleotides long. RefSeq lists it as uncharacterized. The transcript is spliced from 3 exons. The record is from RefSeq and is a predicted model, not a curated record. NCBI's taxonomy places the organism in Eukaryota, Metazoa, Chordata, Actinopteri, Batrachoidiformes, Batrachoididae.
GAACCUUUAGUUUCGAAUGAAAGCUCACAAGCUUAGUUAUCGCAUGAAGCAGUGUUCGUUUCAUCACGGUGUCAGUCUGAUGUUUCUGCUUUUCCUAAAAUGUGCAUCACACGCUGAGAAAUGCUGACAAAUGCAGAGUAAAAUGCACAUGUGUAUCCCAUCACUUGA